Molecule: ribosomal RNA, 455 nt
Filed under: Leptotrichia sp. oral taxon 212
Lineage: Bacteria; Fusobacteriati; Fusobacteriota; Fusobacteriia; Fusobacteriales; Leptotrichiaceae
Description: bacterial SSU rRNA
Rfam family: Bacterial small subunit ribosomal RNA
Source: RNAcentral
GAUGAACGCUGACAGAAUGCUUAACACAUGCAAGUCGAUGGGGAAGUGGUGCUUGCACCAUGGUAACCAUGGCGGACGGGUGAGUAACGCGUAAGGGACUUACCUGCAGGACUGGGAUAACAGGGGGAAACUCCUGACAAGACCGGAUAAUGUCAUGGAGCUGCAUGGCUUUAUGAUUAAAGGAGACGCCUGCGGAGAGCCUUGCGUCCUAUUAGCUAGUUGGUGAGGUAAGGGCUCACCAAGGCGAAGAUAGGUAGCCGGCCUGAGAGGGUGGACGGCCACAAGGGGACUGAGACACGGCCCUUACUCCUACGGGAGGCAGCAGUGGGGAAUAUUGGACAAUGGGGGCAACCCUGAUCCAGCAAUUCUGUGUGCACGAAGAAGGUUUUCGGAUUGUAAAGUGCUUUCAGCAGGGAAGAAGGAAGUGACGGUACCUGCAGAAGAAGCGACGGUAA